RNAcentral lists this microRNA precursor (127 nucleotides) under Myotis lucifugus (little brown bat). Its description in RNAcentral is "mir-9193 microRNA precursor family". It matches the Rfam family "mir-9193 microRNA precursor family". Lineage: Eukaryota; Metazoa; Chordata; Mammalia; Chiroptera; Vespertilionidae. The record is from Rfam by way of RNAcentral.
CAUGCACCAGUGGGGUCCCUCGGCUUGGCCUGUGCCCUCUCACAAUCCAGGACUCCUCAGGGGAUGUCGGAUUGCCAGUUUCGGCCCAAUCCCCGCAGGCCAGGCCGAGGGACCCCACUGGUGCACG